UGAAUACGAGAUGCUACGGCGUCGAAGCAGUGUAUGUCAGACUUCCAAGAAAAGCUCGCAAUGUCAUAAAUAAAGAAUGCCUGUACCAUAACCGACACAGGUGGGUAGGUAGAGUAUACUAAGGGGCGCGAGAUAACUCUCUCUAAGGAACUCGGCAAAAUAACUCCGUAACUUCGGGAGAAGGAGUGCCUUCUUUAAGAAGGUUGCAAUAACAAGAUCCAAGCAACUGUUUAUCAAAAACACAGGUCUCCGCUAAGUCGUAAGACGAUGUAUGGGGGCUGACGCCUGCCCAGUGCCAGAAGGUUAAAGAAGUUGGUUAGCUUUUGCGAAGCUGAUGACUGAAGCCCUGGUGAACGGCGGCCGUAACAAUAACGGUCCUAAGGUAGCGAAAUUCCUUGUCGGGUAAGUUCCGACCCGCACGAAAGGCGUAAUGAUUUGGAUACUGUCUCGGAGAGGGACUCGGUGAAAUAGACUUGUCUGUGAAGAUGCGGACUACCUGCACCAGGACAGAAAGACCCUAUGAAGCUUUACUGUAACUUGAAAUUGAAAUUGGACUUUAUUUGCGCAGUAUAGGUGGAAGGCGUUGAAAGUAAUCUUGCGGGAUUAGUGGAGCCAUCAGUGAGAUACCACUCCUAUAAUGUUAGAUUUCUAACUUUGGAUCAUGAUCUGGUCAAAGAACAGUUUCAGGCGGGCAGUUUGACUGGGGCGGUCGCCUCCCAAAUGGUAACGGAGGCGUACAAAGGUUUCCUCUGAACGGGUAGAAAUCGUAUCUAGAGUGUAAAGGCAUAAGGAAGCUUGACUGUGAGACCUACAAGUCGAGCAGGGACGAAAGUCGGUCUUAGUGAUCUGACGGUGCUGAGUGGAAAGGCCGUCACUCAACGGAUAAAAGUUACUCUAAGGAUAACAGGCUGAUCUCCCCCAAGAGUUCACAUCGACGGGGAGGUUUGGCACCUCGAUGUCGGCUCAUCGCAUCCUGGGGCGGUAGUACGUCCCAAGGGUUGGGCUGUUCGCCCAUGAAAGCGGUACGCGAGCUGGGUUCAGAACGUCGUGAGACAGUUCGGUCCAUAUCCGGUGUAGGCGUUAGAAUAUUGAGAGGAGCCUUCUUUAGUACGAGAGGACCGAGAAGGACAUACCUCUGGUGUACCAGUUAUCGUGCCAACGGUAAACGCUGGGUAGCUAUGUAUGGAGAGGAUAACCGCUGAAAGCAUCUAAGUGGGAAGCCCACCUCAAGAUGAGUAUUCU
RNAcentral lists this ribosomal RNA (1242 nucleotides) under metagenome. RNAcentral's name for it is "bacterial LSU rRNA". It matches the Rfam family "Bacterial large subunit ribosomal RNA", at positions 1564 to 2814 of the family's 2925-position model. The record is from RNAcentral.